UCUUAACUCACAUCACUUCAGUGUUUUCAUUGUUUCCAUUAUAAUCAAUAAUCAUUAACUGAUUAUUGAUUAUAAUGAAAACAAGAAAACACUGAAGUGAUGUGAGUUAAGG
RNAcentral lists this microRNA precursor (112 nucleotides) under Xyrichtys novacula (pearly razorfish). The record is from RNAcentral. Lineage: Eukaryota; Metazoa; Chordata; Actinopteri; Labriformes; Labridae.